RNAcentral lists this ribosomal RNA (475 nucleotides) under uncultured bacterium. Its description in RNAcentral is "bacterial SSU rRNA". It matches the Rfam family "Bacterial small subunit ribosomal RNA", at positions 37 to 507 of the family's 1533-position model. The record is from RNAcentral.
UAGCGGCAGGCUUAACACAUGCAAGUCGAGGGGUAACAGAAGUAGCUUGCUACUUGCUGACGACCGGCGCACGGGUGCGUAACGCGUAUACAAUCUACCUUUUGCUGAGGAAUAGCCCAGAGAAAUUUGGAUUAAUGCCUCAUGGUAUAUAGUACUGGCAUCAUUACUAUAUUAAAGGUUACGGCAAAAGAUGAGUAUGCGCUCUAUUAGCUAGAUGGUGUGGUAACGGCACACCAUGGCAACGAUAGAUAGGGGCCCUGAGAGGGGGAUCCCCACACUGGUACUGAGACACGGACCAGACUCCUACGGGAGGCAGCAGUGAGGAAUAUUGGGCAAUGGAGGCAACUCUGACCCAGCCAUGCCGCGUGCAGGAAGACUGCCCUAUGGGUUGUAAACUGCUUUUAUACAGGAAGAAACAGCUCUUCGUGAAAGAGCCUUGACGGUACUGUAAGAAUAAGGAUCGGCUAACUCCGUG